This 694-nucleotide ribosomal RNA is filed under the name uncultured Staphylococcus sp. RNAcentral describes it as "bacterial SSU rRNA". It matches the Rfam family "Bacterial small subunit ribosomal RNA", at positions 65 to 742 of the family's 1533-position model. Lineage: Bacteria; Bacillati; Bacillota; Bacilli; Caryophanales; Staphylococcaceae. The record is from RNAcentral.
AGCGAACAGACGAGGAGCUUGCUCCUCUGACGUUAGCGGCGGACGGGUGAGUAACACGUGGAUAACCUACCUAUAAGACUGGGAUAACUUCGGGAAACCGGAGCUAAUACCGGAUAAUAUAUUGAACUGCAUGGUUCAAUAGUGAAAGACGGUUUUGCUGUCACUUAUAGAUGGAUCCGCGCCGCAUUAGCUAGUUGGUAAGGUAACGGCUUACCAAGGCAACGAUGCGUAGCCGACCUGAGAGGGUGAUCGGCCACACUGGAACUGAGACACGGUCCAGACUCCUACGGGAGGCAGCAGUAGGGAAUCUUCCGCAAUGGGCGAAAGCCUGACGGAGCAACGCCGCGUGAGUGAUGAAGGUCUUCGGAUUGUAAAACUCUGUUAUUAGGUAAGAACAAAUGUGUAAGUAACUAUGCACGUCUUGACGGUACCUAAUCAGAAAGCCACGGCUAACUACGUGCCAGCAGCCGCGGUAAUACGUAGGUGGCAAGCGUUAUCCGGAAUUAUUGGGCGUAAAGCGCGCGUAGGCGGUUUUUUAAGUCUGAUGUGAAAGCCCACGGCUCAACCGUGGAGGGUCAUUGGAAACUGGAAAACUUGAGUGCAGAAGAGGAAAGUGGAAUUCCAUGUGUAGCGGUGAAAUGCGCAGAGAUAUGGAGGACACCAGUGGCGAAGGCGACUUUCUGGUCUGUAACUG